CCUACGGGAGGCAGCAGUGAGGAAUAUUGGUCAAUGGACGAGAGUCUGAACCAGCCAAGUAGCGUGAAGGAUGACUGCCCUAUGGGUUGUAAACUUCUUUUAUCUGGGAAUAAAGCGUUCCACGUGUGGGAUUUUGUAUGUACCAUAUGAAUAAGGAUCGGCUAACUCCGUGCCAGCAGCCGCGGUAAUACGGAGGAUCCGAGCGUUAUCCGGAUUUAUUGGGUUUAAAGGGAGCGUAGGUGGAUUGUUAAGUCAGUUGUUAAAGUUUGGGGCUCAACCGUAAAAUUGCAGUUGAAACUGGCAGUCUUGAGUGCAGUAGAGGUAGGCGGAAUGCGUGGUGUAGCGGUGAAAUGCUUAGAUAUCACGAAGAACUCCGAUUGCGAAGGCAGUUCACUGGACUGCAACUGACGCUGAGGCACGAAAGUGUGGGUAUCAAACAGGAUUAGAUACCCGUGUAGUC
RNAcentral lists this ribosomal RNA (460 nucleotides) under uncultured bacterium. Its description in RNAcentral is "partial 16S ribosomal RNA". It matches the Rfam family "Bacterial small subunit ribosomal RNA", at positions 338 to 795 of the family's 1533-position model. The record is from RNAcentral.